AUGCAUUCAAUAAUGAAAACUAAAUUUAACAAUUAAACUCAUCCACCGAAACUCCAAAACCCUAGGAACCCCUUGACGAUUACAAUCAAAUCAUAAAAUCAAGCAUAUGAAGAGAAGACCAAAAGUCUUAUACCACCAUGAAGACAAAAAACUAGUGAUUUUGAGAUCUCUACGAGGCUCCAAAAUAGAAGCCCUCCAAUGGUGAUACACACAGGAUUGAUCAGGGCCCUUCCCAACUCGUCAUGGUGCUGCAGCCUUCUUCGCAAGUGUACUGCCGACCGUCCUUCACAAAAGUAGAUUGCACCAUUGCUUGUUUGCCUUUAUGACCUCUACUACGACCACUCUAGGAAUCCUUUUCUAAAGUAUCAAAUCACACUCUAAUCAGAUUUUAUGUUCAACACAUGAACAAUCUGAAUUUUUGGACAAGUAUCUCAUACUUUCCAUUUCUCUUCCUCUCUUCUUUUCUAUUUUUUCUUCCCUUAUCCUUGUCUUUAUCCAGACAUUUUUCUCUCACUUUUCUCUCAUCUUCACACUAAUUCCCAGC
Molecule: long non-coding RNA, 544 nt
Filed under: Elaeis guineensis (African oil palm)
Lineage: Eukaryota; Viridiplantae; Streptophyta; Magnoliopsida; Arecales; Arecaceae
Description: long non-coding RNA (EGUI_LNC077117)
Source: RNAcentral